AUGAAGGAGAGAGAAGAUGAUAGAAAAGAAAAGGGUAGAAGAGAAGAAUGAAAGGUGGGAGAGGUAAAGAAGUGUCCCGUCCACACACUGCAGGCUCAUGAAUCUUAACGGUGGGAUAACUGGAAUUCAGACUCAAUCACCCAAUGGAAAUGACCAGAGAAGUGAGGGGGAGAGAAGGGGGAGAUUUAUUUUCAGGUGGCGGAUUCCCCUUAAGGCCCGAGCAUGUGUCUAAUUUGUGUGUGUGUGUGUGUGUGUGCGGGAGAGGGGGUUUCACGGGAACACAAAAUCAAUGUGGAUACCAGUUUCCUCAUCGGAGGGAACAUCAGGCUGUAACCACGGAGGAUUGGUACCCCACGGGAGCAGAGUAUUCAAAUCAAUACUCAUAUUUUCUUUUCAGAAUCCAGGUCACUGCUUUCGGUGUAAUGCGUUCACAGAGGUUGUUAGUGGAAAACAAAGAGUUGCAUCACGUCACAAGAACAUGCCAGAGGCAGCAUGAAACAUUUGUGAUUCUGCAUUUGAGUCCGCUGCAGCGAAAACCACAAACACGCUGAUAUCACUUCCUUAUUGUUUCUGGCUUUGACAAGAGUUUCACCAGAGAAAAGGGACAAUAUUAUGAUGAACUUAGAACAGACAUAACAAUGUUUGUGGUUGCAUGUUUGAGGAGUCUCAUUUCCUGCCUGAGGCGGCGCGAGGCCGUUAAUAAGCACAAGAUAGAGACUGUGACACUUUGUCUGGUUUAUGACCCCGAAAAUAGAAAAGCAGAAACCUUUCAGAGCGCCAGGCAAAGCGGAGCGAACAAAGAGAAAGGAAACACAAAGAGAGAAAAAAAAAAAGGUUCACUUCAGUCAUCUGCUAUCACCCUCAAGGUCAUGAUGGGUGUGUGUGUGAGAUGGGUGAGGAGCAGCCCCCACCCCCCCACACACCCUGUCACACAGAAACUCUCCGCACACACCUCCUGUCAAGAGCAUUAAGCUCAGAUGCAAAAUAGAAGUUAAUUUUCCUCCCACAGCAUGAGAACCACAACCUUUAACUGUCUCUCUAUCUAGAGUAGAAAUACACCAGCUGCUAUAAUAACAUAUACAACAUCAUUUUAUUAGUAAAACUCAUUCCACCAUUAAUAACUAAAAAAAGGCUAAAUAAGAUCCCAUUCAGCAAAGGCCAACUUGAACUCGACUGUUUGUUCUGAUGCCGAAGUGAAAGAGGAAAUGAAGACAUAACGUUCAGUGUGAUGGGAAAGUUUUCUUCUCUCCCAAAAAAGACUGCCCUCCCCUCAGCAAAAGAAAAAAAAAAUACACAACCCCUCCCCCCUUUCUAACCUCCCCUCCCCCCCCUCGAUAGUCUGUGUACAGCUCUUCUAUAUUAAUAUGAAAUAUGAUGGCGAAUGAGAGACACAAACGCUUCACAUGGGGGCAAUCGUGAUUUCACCAUCUUUGUGACCACCUUUUAUUCUCUUGUUUUGCUUGAUGUGCACACACACAUUCAUGGAGCAUGACACACACACACACACACACACACACACACACUUGUGCUGUAUGAUUGUGUGCGUUGGGGGUGUUUUCAGGUUGUAGGGGGGUCUUUCGGGGACUUAAUAUGUUGUCAUGAAUGUCUGCCGAUGAAGAAACUGAUCACUUUAACAAGAGAGGCCCUCCUCCUCCUCAGGGUUUCUCAAGGGGUAGUGUGUGUGUACGUGUGUGUGGGUGUGUGUAUGUGUGUGCGUGUGUUUGUGUGUGUGUGCGCGCUCAUGCGAACACGCCAUCAAGGGUGGCGUGGUCUGCACAAGAGGCGGAGACAACAAAAGCAGGAUGUGAUACAGCAGGACUCCACUUCUCCAGUGAAAUCAGCACAGCGCAGAGAGCGCCACCCGUUGACGAAUGGACGCCACAGCCGGGGCCUGCUGGUAAAAUUCCACUCCCACAGACCAGGAAGGAGCGUGCAAAAGUACCCAACAAAUGACUUGAUAAGAUCCGAGGAGCCUGGUGUGUGUCCUUUCGGGUAUUCCAGUCGUGUGUGCUUGGAGAAACAAAAGGCAAGGGGUCCUGCAGUGUGUCGACUGCCGAAAGAGGUUUCUGUUUUUGUCUCUUCACUGGAGGCCCAGCUGGACCCCACCCAUCUCUACUCACACACACAUAUAGAAGCUACACACACUUUGAGCUAGGGAACCCUCAGUCCACCAAAAAAGACGACAACACAAACAAAAACUGUCACAUCCAACGUUGCACAUUACCGGAUACACCGGCAGAAAACUCCUAAAGCCAGCACACUUGCGUUCAGAACCAAAAGUUAAACAUUAAUGCAGCUAAAAGCCUCCUGGAAGCUCCCACUUCCCAUUUGUUUGUUUUUUUAAAAGCUGCAGUUUGAAGACACGAGAGCCUGAAGCCGUCACGGGGAGCGACACCAUGUCAGCGUUCCCUCAGGGGCCUCCACCGCUAUUGGCCCCUGCUGCAUCAAUCUUGAGAGCACAUUUUAAAUAUGAGAUUAAGAGGGUGAUAUCAUACCUCAGGUUACAUAAUGGCACCCUGCUAAGCUAUUUAUAUGUCAUGGAGCUAUUUUUGUCUGAAUAAUAAAAUAAAACGUGACGGGGGUGAACUUUGAUUUAUGGCGCUGCUAUUAAAUGUGAAUUAAUGAUAUAAAAACGCAGAUUCGUGGACACAAAGGCAGCCAGUGGAGCCAUGCCAUAAGCCUCCAGCUCUUCUUGUCAAAUCCAUCAAAUCCAUCAUGACAGAUGUGAAGAUACAACUUGUCAAACACGCAGAGUUUUCUAUAUUUUCACUCACACACGUCACUCUCGAGUGUGUUAUUAUAUCAAACUGGCUCUGAGGACAUUUUAACAGCUGCCCACCAACUAGUCGUGGUUUUGACGCACGGAAACAUUUCUUCUCUAAGCUCCACAACCAUGAAUUACCCGACACACUCAUUCAUCUUCUCCCUUCAUAACAUAUAAUUGCGCAACAGCUGAGGAGGCUUGCCUCAUCUUAUGCGACACCGUCCACUCUUCUUCAGAAUUCUUGUCUGCAGACUGUUUGGCUGUUGGUAUGUGAGGACUGCAGGUUUCUGCACGCAGCACAACAUGCUGUAGCUCCUGCAAAUCCUCUAACAGCAUCACAACCAUCCAGAAAUAGUCAUAAUCAUACAGAUUAAUAUAGGAAUACUUACCCUCGCUUCUCCGUAUGCUUUGACACAGAUGUUAAUCCAGCUUUGUUGUUAUUGUCAGCGUAUUGAAAAGGGUUGUGAAAAUACACAAAGAAAUCACACCUGGUUUCUGAAAAGGCAGUAACCUGAAAAGACAAAUGCACACAAAUAAAUCCUCACAUAAAGAGCUGAUCCUGCUACACGUUUUAGACAAACCACAGCACAACUGCUAGGCCCUGUUAUUGUGACACAAUAACAGAUUUAACACACCACAAUGUACUACAAGGAGGAUUACAGGAUUCACUCCCUUCACUCAGGUUCACAAUUGAAAAACUCUGCAUCCUUUAGAAACAGAAUGUCCUGGUCAAAAUGAUUUAAAGAAAGCUAAAAUGUAAUAAAAAUAGGUGUCAGAAAUGCUCAUUUAUUUUCUUCAUUAGACACUUAUGGCAAACUAGCCCAAACCCCUCAUGAGCGUGUAACUCUGUGAGGUUACAGCACCAUCUAGAGGUGAGUUCAGGCAACUUCCUGUUUUCGAGACAGAUCCAACAUGGCUGCUCCCUUGUAGAGACGUUUUCAGGCUUCCUGGUUGUGUGAAGUAGCUGCAAACCUUGAGGGAUUGCUGCCACCAUGGAUGCAAGAGAAAUAGUCCACUGUGCUGUGCAGAUAGAGAGAUCCAUCGCAGACAGAAGCUAUGGGGACGUCUUGACCCUCCUCGGUGACCUCGACAAGUCUCACAUCACGCCAGAGCAGCUAGAAGCGACAGGCGUCGUUAAACGUCUCCACGGGCUCCUGAAAAGCUGCUCUGAUGACAGCGUGAAGAGGACAGCCAAGAGCUUGUUGUGCAAGUGGAAGAGACAGUACAGCAAAGACACCCGAGGUGCGAAAAGCACAGAGGAUCCUGAGCUCUCUCGGAGGGUGUCUCUGCCAGACGAGGCCGAGGAUGGAGGAGUCUCCGAGCAGGGGGACUCCCGCGCUGAGUCAGCACAGACAUGUGACAGCAAAGUGAAGUGUGCACAACAAGAAGCGUCAUCCCUAGUGGAACAAGAUGGGCUUUCUUUCCCUGCAGAGAGCCCCUCUGCAUCCUGUAGUUUGUCAUCUGUAAGAUCCAAAUGUGUUGAGCUCCUUCUUGCCGCCCUCCGCCCCGAACUUCCCGAUGGGGACAAGGCCGCAGAGCUGGCCGCAGACAUCGAGCGGCACAUCCACGAGCUCCACCAAUCCAUCAAAUACAAAGCCUGCGUGAGGAGCAAGGUGGCCAACCUGAGGAAUCCCAAAAACCGGCAUCUACGUCGGGGCCUCCUGAGCAGCUCGCUGUCGCCCGAGGCCUUCGCCCGGAUGUCUGCAGAGGAGAUGGCCAGCGCAGAGCUCCGGCAGCUCAGGGAGGAGUACUCGUCCCGGGGCGUGAGCGAGAGGCAGCUUCCUCGGGGGACGGAAGGGACGCGGACGCAGAAGAUCCGCUGCAAGAGAUGCGGGGGGUCAGACUGUAGGGUGACGCAGGUGUCCAGGGGUGCCCUUUUCUUGCCCGCGUGGGUGAGGCAGAGCGGCCCUGACGAGGACGCUAUGACCUUUGUGACCUGCAGUGGGUGUGGCCAGCAGUGGUACCACAGCGGCUGGGUCUGCCUCUAGAUAGUAUCACAUCAUCAUUCAGGAGGAAUGGUCAGAGGAAUGAGGUGGGGAAACAAGGGACAGAGCAUUCUCGCGGGAUGGAGCGCAUACUUGCCGUUUAAACAAGACAUUUUUUAGGAUGCAUCCUUUAUUUUGCAUGUGCAUUCACCAGUUAAUCCGUAACUAGAAGCCCUUCAUUACCUUUCUGCUACAAAGUGAACAUUUUCUGGUCAGAGAAAUUACCUUUGACAUCACUUAACGUAUAGUUUUCUUGAUGUAAAGGAAGAACGUGUAUUCUUUUUGCACUGAUUGUGAGCCACGAUUGCUUUGAAUGUUUAUACUCCUUGUUGAGGAGGAGAAAACAUGCGCCUAGCUUCCUACAAUAUCCCAUUCAUGUGGAGAGCAUGUGACCUGAGAAAACGGUGGGCAUGUGAGUCAGUAAUCUGCCCUCCUGAGCGGCCCCUGGGGUGGAUAUCCCAUGGUCCUUCACUCAGUCGACGUGGCACGAUGACUGGCUUACACGUCAUCGUGACGUCACAUCGCCGGGCCUUCUUCACUGUACAGGCCUGAAGAGUUUCACUAUCUCUUCUUUUUAAAUGGAAUCUUUCUGAGCUGAUAGGGAGUGAGACUUUUCUGUUCUUUGCAGCAGACGCAGUCGGUUUUAAGAGGAUAAUUCAGGGGUGUGCAAAGAUUUAAAAAAUCCCCCUUCUCGUGGUUGUGAGGUCUGCGAUAUCUUAUCAGGCAGAUACAUGUAGGAGUGUUGCUGUUUGGUAUCUCAGCACUGUGGCUCUUCUCUGUGUCUCCUUUCAGAUGCUCCCCUAUCUUUACAGUGUCGUGUUGGGUGACAGAUCCCACCCUUUCAGGCUGGUUUGGCCUGUCAAAUCAGUGUGCUGUCGCCAUUUAUAUCUUCUCUCCCUCGCACAACAAACACUCUGCAGACAGAGGUGCAACGUUCCGGGCUCCUUCACCAACAUUAAGAGGCUUUAAGCCUGCAGAAAGGCAUAUCUUUUGAUCAUCUUUGCUCAUUUAUGCAGUGCAAUAACAUUGGCAAUGCACAAUUUCAGUAGGUUAAUUUUCCUAUAGUUUGUUAGGAACCACUUCUUAGGUUAAAAUAUGUUCCAUGUAUGAAUUAAUAUGUUUCAGAAAUCUGCUCUCACUCAUGUAACAAGUAAGAACAGGCAAGGCCAAUGAAACGUGGAUGUGAUGACAUCCAGCAGAGCGCAUGAUGGGGAGGAGGCGUGACACUCCCCGGGUCAUGUGAGCCUCAUCAGCGGCGCUAAGGCUAGAGAGCAGCGCCAUGUCACCGGCUCACAGCAGCACACUGCCGGGAUGGAGGUGGAGGAUGUGAACGCAGAACACACCGACAGAUUGCUGACAAAAUGAUA
Molecule: RNA transcript, 6116 nt
Organism: Anarrhichthys ocellatus (wolf-eel)
Lineage: Eukaryota; Metazoa; Chordata; Actinopteri; Perciformes; Anarhichadidae
Gene name: ras-related protein Rab-9A-like
Exons: 3
Source: RefSeq, a predicted model, not a curated record